UUGCCCAAUUUAAAAUGAAAUUUAUAUAAUAUUGUAUGAAUCAGGGACCUUGGUCUGUUAGGCAUACUGAGGUAUCCCAAAUGUGUAGCACAGUGGCUGGAACAUGGAAGAUGUUCAAUUAAUAUUUGUUGAAUAGAUGAAUCGAGGUACUGUGACCUCAAAAUGAGAAAGUUGAAGAUUUAAUAAAAUUGUUUUUAUUUUAGUUUUGUUUUUACCAGGGUAAGACCUGAUAAAAUGAGUUCUGGUAUUAUUAUUGCUAUUUUAUAAAUGGCUGUCCCUUCUCCUGUCUUUCGCAGGGCUUCUUCAUUUUGGUGUUCGGAACACUCCUGGAUCCAAAGAUAAGAGAAGCCUUAAAGAGUCGAGUAACCUCUGCAAAAUGGAUCUCCAGAAUAUCAGAGAACCUUUCUUCCGAUCUCUCUUGUCACCCCACCAAAGGGCCAGGGUAACAAGCAGGCUGUACUCCUGACUUGGGCGGUCAUGCGUUCCAGGAAUGGCAGUGAGUCCCCAGGAGAGAUGUGCAUAGUCCUGUCUUCUGGCCUCUGGGGGUCUGUAGGGAGCCCUCUGAGCUGUGGUGCUGCUGGAGCAGGGCCUCAAGUGUGGGGACGAUGGAAGGCCCUCUGUCUGAGCUGAUCUGUGAUGCUGACCAUUUCUCCCCCAGUCAACCCUACACAUAUAUGUAGACAGAUUUAUGCCACGCCAGGCACCCGCAGAGAACAGACAGACACAGUGGGCCGCAGGAGGGCCUCGGUCUCGAGGGCCUUCAGCUCCGGCUGCUGGGUCACACGUAUCCUCAGGAAGAGAGCUCUGGUGCCUCUUGGCGAAGGUGGCCUGAGAUACCACCUGGCUGGAGUCUGUGGGCUGCUGCGGGAGGGGCCCGUGAAUGAUCACCAACCGGUGGGCUCCUUCUAAGUGCAUCAUUGCUGGUCUUGUACUAAAGGAAUUCGAGGGCCAGCACAGUCCACCUCUCCAGAUUUAAAUAGAUUGCACGGUCAGCCUGACUUGGGCUGACACACACUGCUUUGGCUGUGAAUCAAGUGAAAAGUAUAGAGCUUUUGAACCAGAAAGGUGCUCAUUUUAAGGAGACUCAUUCUGGAGUGAUGGGUCACAGCUAAUCAAGGCCUGCACCAUGGGUAGAAACCCAGGUCUGUGGCUCCCAGCCCUGGACUUUCUCCUCAAGUCAUGGAGCCACCGAGGGACUCUGUCUACUCUGACAAUGUCCACUUAGCUCUCACCAACAAUAUGAUUGUUUUGAAACUUGUGUUGAGGAAGGGGAAAUAUCGUAUUUCAUGUCAAGAGAUGCUCAUUUUCUUAAUCUUGUAUGUAAACAAAUUCGGCAUUCAAACCAGGAGCCACCUGAUAGGAGGGCAGUGCUAUAGAUAGAAGCCAUUUUAAGAAAAAAAAGAACUCCUUUACAGAGCAAGUUCACAGGCUGAUGCAUCAGAAGAGAAUUAGUGGCCAAGGGAAAAGGGGGCAAUGAGUAGCCCCCAGUUAUUCUACCAACAGUCCAGCAUUCAUGAUGUUAUAUUACACAUGGGAAAGUGAGACUCCGUUUGUGAGUGAGUGGGGUCUCUCUCUCUCUCUUUCUUUCUACUACAAAAAUCUUCCUCCAAGGAGGGACGUUGGAGAAAUUAAAACUGUAAGAAAGAGAUCAAUCAGAAAGCAGGAGCGUACAUCAACCUGGAGCAUGAGUCACCUUUCAAGUGGCUUUGCCCCUAUUGGGACAACACUUGCUUCCUUUUCAAAAGUUGGAAAGUGGUUGUAAGUUGACAUUUCCCAGUAUUUCUGUAGAAUCUCCUCAAGGACAGGGAAUGGGACAGUUCCAGUCCUGGUUCUCUCCAUGCUGAGAGCUCAGUACAAAGAGAUGUCAUUUGCUGGGGUCCAUGUAUUGAAGUGAUGAUGCAAUCUCACAAAACUAGUGUUAGAAUUAAAAAUCUAGACAAUCAUUAGAAAAGACUGAGUCCAUUUGCAGAUGGGAACUCUGAGCACCAGUGAGAGAAAGAGAGAUUAGCCUUUUGUCUGGACUGGCCACUGAGCAGUCACAUCUGUAAGUAUGAAAUCACACUCCACUCAGAUGAACUCAUUUACCAUGACAGGAUGGCAGGAAAGGCAUUCUACUGUGGGAUCAUUAUUAACCAAGAAAAACCCAUGGAUACCACUGAGAAACUCUGGGAUGAUUCGGGAAUCCCUUGAAGAAGCUGUACCCUCUCUCCUGAAGCUCACAACCUUGUCUGCCCCAUCCUGGAAGAUGUCAAUGAACCGCAUGGCUUACGAUGACUAUGGGACACCCUGGGUGGAGACAUAGGUCCCAUUCAUAUCUCACCAAGGAAGUGACUUGGUCAAAGUGGCUCAAGGAGAACUUGGUGCUAACAAUCCGCUAAGGCGGAUUCGUGGUUAGAACACUUAAUACAUAUGAUGAUCUUUGAGAAAGUUGUUUCAAUUCCUUGGAGUUUGAUUUUCUUAUCUAUAAAUUAAGAAAAAUAGAGCCUACCUCACAGGGUUGUUGUAAAGAUUAAAUGAAUGAAUGUAGGUAAAAUACUUAGAAUAGUACUUGGCAAAAAAUAAUUGGCCGUUAAGAUGUUGGCUGUUUUUGUUAGAGUACCUGUGAAUUCCUGCACACACGAAGACAUACACUUAUACACGCAAGCACAGAGCAUGGCUUUUGGCAUGAAUUUGGAUGUAGACACUCUCAUGGGAGUUAAUUCAUUGACUUCUAAAUAGAAGAAUUAAGCAUUUGAUAAGGUCUGUUCACCAUCAGGGGUAUGGCCUCCCCCAAAUCUGCUGAGCUUUUCACUGACCAAUCUUUUGCUCAGCAUUGCCAUGGCUGUGACAUAUAUAGUUUCCUGCCUGGGAAAGAGUUUACGUCACAGGGUUCUAUUCAGGGCACACUGGGUCCGAGCUCUGCUUCACUUUUUGUCUCCUCCCUGAAGUCUUCCCUGAUUAGUUCAACCAGAAGUACUGAUUUCCUAUAAUAUUUAUAAUCUGUGCUAUUAACUUUAUAUUUUGUAUUUAUUGUGUUAUAUUGUUUGUUUACUUUUAAGUCCUUUUACGUGCAUAUAUUUUCUUUUUCAGAUAAGACUAUAAAACCUUGGGGACGGGAUUACUCACUUUUGUUACUAUGUUAUUCACUUUUGUAUGCCCAAAAUGCAGAGCAAGGUGUCUUCACAUAGAAUAUGUUCAAUAAAGUCCUUUGAUUACACAACAAA
Non-coding RNA from Manis javanica (Malayan pangolin), 3203 nucleotides. The record is from RefSeq and is a predicted model, not a curated record. NCBI's taxonomy places the organism in Eukaryota, Metazoa, Chordata, Mammalia, Pholidota, Manidae.